Molecule: ribosomal RNA, 735 nt
Filed under: Nasutitermes ehrhardti
Lineage: Eukaryota; Metazoa; Arthropoda; Insecta; Blattodea; Termitidae
Description: partial large subunit ribosomal RNA
Rfam family: Archaeal large subunit ribosomal RNA (bases 282-540)
Source: RNAcentral
UUAAUUCAUACAUCUUAUUUAAUUUCUUUUGUUGAUUUAUUUAUUUUUAUUUGAUGUUAAGAUUGAGGGGGAUUAGCUCCUUGUUCUACUUUUAUAAUUUUCUGUUGUUAAUUUAGUUUUGUGGAUUUUAUGGUGAUUUUCUAUUUGAUUAUGUUAAAAUUUUAUUUGUUCUUUUUUUAAUUUUUUGUUAUUUAAGUUAUUUAUUGAAAUGUUUUCUUUACUUUUAGUUUGUGUGGUAAUUAUUGUGUAAUUAGUAAAUUUUAUUGAUUGUUUUGUGAGUAUGGUAGGUGUUAAUUGCUUUUGAGGAAUUCGGCAAAAUUUUAUGUCCGCCUGUUUAACAAAAACAUCUUUUCUCGUUAGUUUUUGAAGUAUGGCCUGCCCACUGACCGUUAAAGUUGAAGGGCCGCGGUAUUUUGACCGUGCAAAGGUAGCAUAAUCAUUAGUUCUUUAAUUGUGAUCUGGUAUGAAUGGCUUGACGAGACAUAAGCUGUCUUAGAGGUAUUUGUUUAUUGAAUUUGGUUUUUGAGUUAAAAUUCUUAAAUGUUUUUAUGGGACGAGAAGACCCUAUAGAGUUUGACAAUUAUUCUUAUUUAUUCGUUGUUUGCUUGUUGCACAUUGAGUGGGAAUAUUGUUUUGUUGGGGUGAUGGGAGGAAUAUUAUUUAACUCCUCUUUGUUUUUGUAUAUUUAUGUAUAUAUUUUUGAUCCAUUUAUUUUGAUUAUAAGAUUAAAUUACC